GCAUACUUGUGAAUUGGUUAUGACUUGAAGACGUUGAUUUCGAGGAUGACUCGAGUAAGGAAAAUUCUAGAUGCAUGAUGUGUUACACUUUAUGGAUAUAUGGAAAUCUUGAAAUGAUUUGAGUUUGUUAUUUCUGAUGGAUGUAAUAUGUUAAUAAAAGGGAGCCACUAGAUUGCGUUAAGGUGAGGAUUACUUAUUUAGGUUUUGGCGUGCUAACGGAGCACAUAUCAUUCGGCUCGUUUUGGUGGUGCAUUAGAGAUUAGUGUAGAGUGGAUAACUCUCGAGAAAGUUCUAAUGGGUUCAUGAUUCAUAUGUGGUAUAUGAGGAAUUUAUGGAUUUGUAAAGGAUUAGAUAUAAUAUUUGUUUUGGAUGGUGUCAGGACCCGCGGUAUGUCCUUAUCACUAUGGAUCCCACAUUUCAGUAUCAGAGAGGUUAAAAAACAACUUUAGAUUUGCGGAAGGUCUUUUUAGGGUGUGUAUCUUGGUUGCGGUAUUCUUUGGCGUCUAAGGUGGAAUAUACUGGCUUAUGGAUCUUGAGACAACGUGAUAUCAUGCUAGGAUAACUAGUAGUGAACUUUGGAUUAUGAAUCGAAGUAUACUAGCAAGGAGAAGUGUUAACUUAAUGGCAAGUCGAGGGGACUCGAAGAAAUAGGACAGUUUGGUGGUAGAUCAGAUCAGUAUUGUGAUAGAAAUGAUCAAUUCUUUUGGUUCUUAUGAUAUGGUGAGGCUUUAUCGGUGUUUUGUUGCAUUACUCUUGGGGGUGGCGACUUGCGUGACUUAGCUGAGUUAGAAGGAUUCAGUUCUGAUGGAUUGGUUAUGUGAAAACAAGUUUCGAAGAGUUCUCGUUGGUGUCGACCAAGGUUUGGGGCAAAUGUAUUUGACAGGGAUGAUGAGUAUAUUGGAUGUUGUAAUUUUUCUCUCAGAUGUGGGGCCUAGUGGUAAAUUUCUAGCUGAUUGAGUAUGUAUCCUGCAUGUGAAUUAGAGUUGAUUAUGGGAUUCUUGUGUUUUCAUAUGAUGGAAUGAUAGAUGAGGUGUGCAUCGUAUGAGAUUGAGGUUUGUAUGUACAAUGUUGCGGUUCAACUUUGAAGGGAAAUCCAUGAAUUUUAGAUAACACAAACAGUUUUAGAUGUUAAGAAGAAUGUUAGUACUAAUUGGUAUCACCUAAGGAGGGUGCGCAUUUUAGUGGACGUAUCGUGUUGGGCUUGCAGAUGCUUGACUAGUAUUACGGUAAUCACCUGGUUUCUCAACUAUAGAUGUUCAGAUUUUGCUAUAUGGCACGGAAGAAUUAUGGAUGUAUUUCUCGCAGGAUGAUUGAGUAUGAGAGAUGAGUUAGUCAUUCGAGUGGUGGAGAUGGGAUCGAAUAUGGUAAUUCUUGUAUUCUAGGGAUUUGGAGACUUGGAGGGUUCUCAGAGGCAGAUUAUUCUUUGGUUGUGAACCGUGAAGGUAUGGCAAAAGUUAGACAACUAGUAGUAUGUGUAAUGGUUAGGUUAUUAUGGACUUUUGAAGGAUUAUUUAUUUAUUUAUGGAUGGUCAGAGUUGAUUUGGGGGCCCAUUAGUAGGCCUAACGAGGAUGUGCAUUCUACAUCGGGUCGAAUUUAUUGACUCAUCAAUUCUAUUUUUGAGUGGUGUGUCAUUCAAUUAGAGUUGAGCUUGUUCAUGUAUUGAUAUGUUCUAUGUAUCACUCUUCUAUGCUAUGAUGGGUUGUGAUCUGUUGGGUAUUUGCACACAUGAUACAUUUCUGUUUGAGCCUUAUGGCAAAAUUCGAGCGAGAUGGUUCUUAAAGUGUUGAAUGGUUGAUUGCGCUUUUGCUAUGGCCUUCGUGCUUGUGGUAUAUUGUUCUAUCUAUUUCUCCAUGAAUAUGAUAAUGAACUUCAUGUGUUUGUUGUUGAUUUUCGUAUGGUUAUUGAUUUUGGGCAUUAUAGCUUGAGGUAUUUCAUGUGGAUUGGUGUUUGGAUAUGGUCACAAGUGCAGCAAAGUUACAUUGGGAUAUGUUCCUUUGUGUUAGAUCCAUGUGUCUUGGUUCUAUUAUGUGUGAUGGGUUCAUAGCAUUACGUUUGUGGUAAUAUAUGUUGAGGUUGCGGGACGGUCCUCUCAUUUGAUUUUCUUUCCAACAUUCGAGUUGUUGCUUGUUUGGAUGUAAGGAUCGCGUGGCAUAUGGCUAUAGAUGGUAUUUGUGUGGCAUGUCAGUUGAGUAUCUUUUACUUGAUAAGAUGAGGUCAUUGGACCUGGAAUGAGUACUAUCGGAUUUGAUUACGGUAUGUUUGGAAGAAUAAUGUUAGUUGUCAGCUUAGAAUUUGGCUAUGGUUCUUGUUGGGCGAGAGAGCUCCAGAACUUGUUGGACUGAUGAGUGGUUAUGAGUAUCUAUGUGUUCCCUUCAUCAUUGGUAGUGUACAAAGGUUCAUAAUAAGUUUUCAAUUGUUAGGAGGAUUAUUAUCGGUACCGGGCUUGUUAAUGGACAGUUAUUAUGCUCGGAAGUUAUUGCUAUGGGUAUAUGGGUUAUGUGGUAUAUCAUGUGAUUAUAUCUUGGGUUAUGAUUAUGUCUUGGUACAGCUUGUUCAGACUUGCGCAGUGUUUGGAUGUGAGAAUUGGGUCUUUAAUGUAUUCCGGAUGUUGGAGAUUUGAUUCUAAGGUUAUGGGCUAAGGUUGAAGUGAGGAUCCUUGUCACACCUCCUUUUUCUACCCCGGAAAGGGGUAUAAAGGAGUUUUUCCAAUUAAAGUGACAAUAAUCGAAAUGGGAUUAUUUAUUAAAAUUCAGAGUCUCCACUUGGGGUAAUUUAUGGUGUCCCAAGUCACCGGUUUAAAAUCCCGAAUCGAGUAAGUUUGACUCUGUUUUACAGUCCGCGAAACAUAGAAAUUCGGGUAAAGAACUCUGUUAACCCGAGAGAAGGUAUUAGGCAUUUUCG
RNAcentral lists this long non-coding RNA (2902 nucleotides) under Nicotiana tabacum (common tobacco). RNAcentral's name for it is "long non-coding RNA (NTAB_LNC017067)". Lineage: Eukaryota; Viridiplantae; Streptophyta; Magnoliopsida; Solanales; Solanaceae. The record is from RNAcentral.